Pelobates cultripes (western spadefoot toad) is the source of this 341-nucleotide non-coding RNA. NCBI's taxonomy places the organism in Eukaryota, Metazoa, Chordata, Amphibia, Anura, Pelobatidae. The record is from the annotation of a GenBank genome assembly.
GGAUCUCCUCCGUGGAAAUCUUGAAAAUGUCUUGAAAGAUUAUGGGUUUGAAGUCCCUUUCUAAUGUUUCUGAUGUGUUCCGCCAUCCUUAUCUUCAGUGCCCUUUUUGUUCGUCCUAUAUACUGUUUUGAACACGGGCAUGUAAUAAGGUAAAUUACCCCUUUUGUAUCGCAAUUCAUAUUGGUCUUGAUGUCAAAUUCUUCCAUACCAUCCAUAGAUGUGAAUCUAGUGAUUUCAAAAUCUAGAAGGGGAUUAUUCAUGCACGCAACACAUUUCCUGCAUCGUUUAAAACUUUUAAUAGUGGUUUUAUCCUGUUGGACAUUCUGCUGUUUGAAGGUUGG